UUAAAUUGAAGAGUUUGAUCAUGGCUCAGAUUGAACGCUGGCGGCAGGCCUAACACAUGCAAGUCGAACGGUAACAGAAAGCAGCUUGCUGCUUUGCUGACGAGUGGCGGACGGGUGAGUAAUGUCUGGGAAACUGCCUGAUGGAGGGGGAUAACUACUGGAAACGGUAGCUAAUACCGCAUAACGUCGCAAGACCAAAGAGGGGGACCUUCGGGCCUCUUGCCAUCGGAUGUGCCCAGAUGGGAUUAGCUAGUAGGUGGGGUAACGGCUCACCUAGGCGACGAUCCCUAGCUGGUCUGAGAGGAUGACCAGCCACACUGGAACUGAGACACGGUCCAGACU
This 342-nucleotide ribosomal RNA is filed under the name Escherichia coli. Its description in RNAcentral is "bacterial SSU rRNA". It matches the Rfam family "Bacterial small subunit ribosomal RNA", at positions 1 to 337 of the family's 1533-position model. The record is from RNAcentral. Lineage: Bacteria; Pseudomonadati; Pseudomonadota; Gammaproteobacteria; Enterobacterales; Enterobacteriaceae.